ACUGUCGCGAAGCUCCCGCCCAAGCCGACCACGUGCCGCGAGCCCGGCGGGGAGAGCCCACUCCCGCGCCCCUUCCGGGCCCACUACCCCGCCGGGCUGUGGCCCAUCGCCCCAGUGCCUGGUAGCCUAGUUUUCUCGUUUGUCGUUUGUUCACUUAUUUAUUAUUAUUAUUAUUAUUUUGACUCGUAAUGGGUAUGAGGUGUAAGGGGGCCUAUUACGGAUGUUAAGGGGAGAGGGCACCGCUCGGGUUUUAAUAAGCAUCUGUGGAGCUCAUUUAUAAGGUGGAGGCAGAUUAAGGAACUUGUUCUUACUGCUAACUGAUAAGUCUGGAGGUUUGAACUCAUUCUGCAAACUCCACGCACCCUAGCUGUUCCACUCUGCAGCAAUGCUGCUGGCUAGACACUGGAAGAUUGGAGCAGAAAGACUUUCGAAACUCUUGGAGGUUAUGAAUACAAGUGUUCCUCUGUUAAAUAAAUCCACAUUUAUCAAGUACCUACCUUAAGCCAGCCACCUUGCAGGUGAGGGCUGGAGGCUAACAGCCUGUUUUAUAGCACCCAAUCCCAGUUAUAUAAAAUUGCUAUCCCUACCCCCCAAAUACACCCCUAUUAAAAAAAAAAAAAGGCUGUAUUGAUGCUGGAAUUUAAGAGCCACUACCAAAAAUACCCCUUUUAAUUUGCUGUUUGACUUCAAAAUCCCGAAAGUGUUCAUGCUUAAAGCAGCAAUUUUCCCCAACCUCACCCCCAAGAGAUUUAGAAAAAGUUAAGUCCAGGGUGGCCCCUGCCCUCCCUCCGCCCCCUCCUCUGUAUUUUUAACAAGACCCCAGGUGACUGAUGAAGUUGCUAGAGAAAUUACGGUGAGUGAAACACUGGCCUAGAGGUAAAGUUAAUUGACCUUCUAAGUUGUGCUCUAUCAAGUACAAAAUCAACUUGGAAGAUUCUGAGAACAGAAUAAGUGAAUUUAGUAGAAGUGAAUGUUCUUCCCCAGGGCCAACACAAUGAAGUCUGAAAUGACACUUUGUUUCUUUUGGGAAGACUUCCCUGACCCCUCUCCCGCCAAGACUGUUCUCCAUGCCAUGUACGUUGUAUGCUGUAGCUCAACACUUAACCAUGUUGCAGUUGCCCACAACUCGUCUGAAUGUCCCACUAUGAAUGGAGUGUCAUAAAUGAAGGGACCAGGUUUAUCUUGCAUGUAAUAGUUUCUCUAGUGCCUGUGACUUAGGGCAAGUCACUUAAACGUUUUUUGAAUUGCCUUAUCUGUAAAAUGGGGCAGUAUUACUUGGAGAGUAAUAUUCAGAAUCUCAAAUAAGAAAAUUAAUAUGGAAUACUUUUAAAAAAUGAAGAAUUAUGUGAAUAAGGGAUUAUUAGGAUUACUAUAAUAACAGUGACAAUUACUAAAUUACUGUUUGCACCCACAGCACCUAACAUUGAACUUGUGAGAAGAGCCUGGACAUAUCUUUUGACUAGCUGAGAAACGUAUUUAUUAUUUAAUAAUUUUAAACCAAUAGAAGCAAGUUACAUUACCUUUAGAAACUGGUGUGGGAGGAGUUUUAUCCCAUGAUAGGAGUUGGCCAAGAGAAUUCUGUCUAUAAUCUCUACUAUGUUAGCAGAGCUAAAAGUGGCAUCAGUUAUUGAAACCCAUUGACAAGCUCCAGAUUUCAUUGACCACAUUCUAACUCUGCUGUAUCAAACCCUUUUAAAUAUGGAGUUUUAGACAGUGCAGUAAAAGGAAACCAGCUGAAAGCAUGGAUAAUUCAUAGGAUGCGUGCAUAGUUAAGGACUGUCUUUUUCCUUAAAUUGUUCUUCUUUAGUUUCUGCUCCAUCUAUAGGUGCUUAUUUUUUCAAUCUCGAAGAUAUUUAGUGCUUUGAAAUUGUUCAGUAAAAUGAUCUCUUAAACAGAAAUGAUUAUUUAAGAAUAGGACUGCUAAGAAACUGAUGGCCUCAGCUUAUGCUAAAAAUUAAACCCUGCUGACAACUGCAGCAGAUAGUUUAAUUUCUAUAAGAGAAUUAUUCAUAUAAGCUUAUUUCUACUGUAAGGAAAUUUAGGUUUCUUAGUGCUAAUUUUGUGUAGUAAUUCCAUACGGCGAUACAGAAGGUAGAGAAGUACAGUGGCACACUACAGUGUUGUCGUAAACUCACACAGCCUCAAGCUGAAUUCUGAUCUUGUAAGCAUGGUGCCUAUCUUUACACAGUACUACAAGCUAUAACUUAUAAACCUGAAUAGCAACAUCUAACAAUGAGAGAUUAUAGUACUUUUGAACUGUGCAUUUGUGUAACAAAAUUUCAAAUUACCCAUUUACAUUAAAAAUAUAUUUUUGAACUAUAGCUUAUCUACUCAAUUACUGUUACACUAAACCUUUCAAAUCAUUCCUGUUACAUUAUUAACUGAUUAAUGCUUUGCUGAUGACCUUCAAAACACAGUAUCACUUUGAUCUAAUCCACCUACUUGCUCAAAUUUUCUAAUUUUUAUACUCACACUGCAUCUGAGAAAAUUAACUUGUUAGUGUCUCCUGAUCACCUUACAUGUAUAUCUUAAUUCUUCCUCUUUCCUAUCUUAGUGUUUUGGGUUUUUUUUUUUUUUUAAGACAGAGUUUCGACCUUGUUGCCCAGGCUGGAGUGCAAUGGUGCGAUCUCGGCUCACUGCAACCUCCCCCUCCCGGGUUCAAGCGAUUCUCCUGCCUCCGCAGGAGGCCUCCGGAGUAGCUAGGCCUCUGGAGUAGUAGGCUGAGGCCUCCGGAGUAGCUAGGAUUACAGGCGCCCGCCACCACGCCAGGCUAAUUUUUGUAUUUUUAGUAGAGAUGGGGUUUCACCAUGUUGACCAGACUAGUCUCUAACUCCUGACGUGGUGAUCGCCUGCCUUGGCCUCCCAAAGUGCUGGAAUUACAGGCGUGAGCCACUGCACCCGGCCUCCUAUCCUAGUGUUUUUAACCUUCCUUAAAAUCUAGUCACCAUUCUUCUCCACCUACCACCAGAACUGUACAGAUGGAGGUGGCGUAUGCAUGUUGUGACCAUGGGGUGGAAAGCCACAUGACAAGAAUAGUGGAGCAGACGGAUAGGGACCCGGGUCCCUGAUGACCUUGUAUGUAGCCGUUCCAGACCUGGACUGUGCACUUCUGGACUCUGGUGACAUGCAGGGAAAAAAAAAUGAAACAAACAAAAAAACACGUUUAGGUAAACCACUGUAGUUGUGAUUUUGUUAUAUGUAGCUGAAUAUAAUCCUAACUCAUGCAAAAUCUGAAUUAGAAGUUAGUGGUUUCUCAUAAUUUCUCCCAACUACAGGCUUCCCUUGGGAGACAAUUUUCUGGGUUUCUGAAUAUCUUGAGAACAGAGGUGCUGGCUUUGUCUGAAACUAUCUUUUCAGUGAUGUUUUUGUAGUGAACAGCGUUCCAAGAUAGAGAAAAUGACUCCUUCUGGAGCAAAGAACAAGCAUGAUUACUACCCAUUAUAAAAAAAUCAGGUUCUCUAAGUACUAUACUGUACUUUACUGUACUAUACUAUACUACACUACACUACACUACACUACACUACACUACACUACACUACACUAUGCUGCAGUCCAUUGCCAGUACAAGUAUUAUGUGGCAUCUUCAUGUUGGCAUAUGGGAAUUGGGGUUCAGAACAGCAGCACAAAAAUUAAUACUGUUGCUCUGGUCACUGCUAUUGCCAUGAGUAAUAAAUUAUCCCUUAACACAGGAGUCUUGAGUCUAAUACUAGCAUGAUGAAACUGUGGCUGACUAGCUUGUUAGCUUGCAAAUAGGGUAAAAUUUCAGAUUGUUUACGGAACCCAGAAUAGACUACAUAGCCCUCAGAUGACUGUGGGGAGCCCUCUGAAAUAAGGCCACCCUUAGUUAUUUGGUGGAACUUUCCAGAGGGCAGACUCAUUUGUGUGCACUUUGUGGUUGGUUGUCCCAACGAUGGGAGUCAGAUAAUUAGAAAAGGUGGUAAGAAAUUUGUCCCUGAGGCUGGGCGCAGUGGCUCACGCCUGUAAUCCCAGCACUUUGGGAGGCCAAGGCGGAUGGAUCAUGAGGUCAGGAGAUCGAGACCAUCCUGGUCAACAUGUUGAAACCUCGUCUCUCCUAAAAUACAAAAAAUCAGCCAGGCGUGGUGAUGCAGGCCUGUAGUUGCGGCUACUCAGGAGGCUGAGGCAGGGGAAUUGCUUGAACCUGGGAGGUGGAGGUUGCAGUGAGCCGUGAUCACAGCACUGCACUCCAGCCUGGCGACAGAGCGAGACUCCAUCUCAAAAAAAAAAAAAAAAGAAAAGAAAAGAAAAGAAAAAAGAAAAGAAAUUUGUCCCUGAGUUCAGCUGAAGUGAUUAAUGAUACCACCUGGGCCUUAGAAGGUAGUCAGCUCCAACUCAACUCACUGACCAGAAUUGUUAUAGAUGAUAGAAUUGCAACAGAUGUCAGAUUCUAAAUCGUCCCUAAAACAUCCAGCUAUACCUGGAUUAAUGCCGCAAACCAAGUAGAAAGGUCAAAUGAGAGCCUUAAGGAGAAAGCCACUGACUUUCCAAGGUAGACCCUGUUGGUUUGUGGUAUUCAGAACUCUGGGUGUCAUGAUUAAGGUCAAUACUUUGUCCUGCUGCUUGUAUUGUUGAUAGUCCCUUAAUUAAGUGCUAUACAAGACAAAUGGAAUUAAGCCUCUAUACAUCAGAUUAAUCACAGUGGUCAAUGGAGUCACAUAUUCAUGUGAAAUUUUGAGUUCUGCCAAGAACGUUUAAGGGUGGAUGGUUAGAAGAGGAAGAUCUGUCUUGGUCCUGAGUGUCCCUGCAUAAUUUUGCUAAGUAUGCCAGAUUGCAAGUCUUAUCUGUCUCCUGAGACUGAGCAUUUUUGCAGCUAGACACAUAGACAAUUAAGUGGGUCAGGGUAACUGUACAAUGACUCUCGUGUAACUGCUCACCAUCAGGGUAAGGGAGAUUGGCUUGUUUGCUGCUUGUUCAAGAAAUUUGGACCCUUGGAUCUGGGUUUCUCUUUUGCAGUGCAACCCACUAAGUGUGCAGGUGGCAUUUGGGUCCAUUACAUAUUCCCUGUGGGAGUUGGGGGCAAGAGGAACUGACAAAUAUGCUGAUGCUCAUGCUGCUUUCUGUGCUAUAAGCAAUAAAGUACUUUGUCUCCUAACUAGGAUUUUUGUGACUUCUGCCAGCAUCCAUGAAACCAGCAGAUUAAUUUAUUAGCUUACAAGAAGGGUAAAAGUUUAAAUGCUUUACAGUUCAUGACAAAAGGUAGUCAUCCCUCCCUCAGUAAACAUGAAGGCUUGGUUCUAGAACCUGCUGCAUAUAUCAAAAUCCAUGCAUACUCAAGUCCCACUGUUGAUCCUGUGGAACCCGAGUGUAAAAAAAGCUGGCCCUCCAUAUACAUGGGUUUUACAUCCGGGGAAUGCUGCAUUUGGUUGAAAUGGAAUCCCACAUGGUUCAAACCUGUUUUGUUCAAGGGUCAACUGUAAUGCCAAAGCAUUGUAAGCAAUGAGAAUUUUUUUAUACUAUAAACCCAC
This 5483-nucleotide long non-coding RNA is filed under the name Homo sapiens (human). RNAcentral describes it as "non-protein coding HDAC2-AS2:84". Lineage: Eukaryota; Metazoa; Chordata; Mammalia; Primates; Hominidae. The record is from RNAcentral.